RNAcentral lists this ribosomal RNA (742 nucleotides) under uncultured Bacilli bacterium. Its description in RNAcentral is "bacterial SSU rRNA". It matches the Rfam family "Bacterial small subunit ribosomal RNA", at positions 63 to 776 of the family's 1533-position model. The record is from RNAcentral. Lineage: Bacteria; Bacillati; Bacillota; Bacilli.
CGAACGCUUCUUUCCUCCCGAGUGCUUGCACUCAACUGGAAAGAGGAGUGGCGGACGGGUGAGUAACACGUGGGUAACCUACCCAUCAGAGGGGGAUAACACUUGGAAACAGGUGCUAAUACCGCAUAACAGUUUAUGCCGCAUGGCAUAAGAGUGAAAGGCGCUUUCGGGUGUCGCUGAUGGAUGGACCCGCGGUGCAUUAGCCAGUUGGUGAGGUAACGGCUCACCAAGGCCACGAUGCAUAGCCGACCUGAGAGGGUGAUCGGCCACACUGGGACUGAGACACGGCCCAGACUCCUACGGGAGGCAGCAGUAGGGAAUCUUCGGCAAUGGACGAAAGUCUGACCGAGCAACGCCGCGUGAGUGAAGAAGGUUUUCGGAUCGUAAAACUCUGUUGUUAGAGAAGAACAAGGGCGUUAGUAACUGAACGUCCCCUGACGGUAUCUAACCAGAAAGCCACGGCUAACUACGUGCCAGCAGCCGCGGUAAUACGUAGGUGGCAAGCGUUGUCCGGAUUUAUUGGGCGUAAAGCGAGCGCAGGCGGUUUCUUAAGCCUGAUGUGAAAGCCCCCGGCUCAACCGGGGAGGGUCAUUGGAAACUGGGAGACUUGAGUGCAGAAGAGGAGAGUGGAAUUCCAUGUGUAGCGGUGAAAUGCGUAGAUAUAUGGAGGAACACCAGUGGCGAAGGCGGCUCUCUGGUCUGUAACUGACGCUGAGGCUCGAAAGCGUGGGGAGCAAACAGG